Molecule: ribosomal RNA, 717 nt
Filed under: uncultured bacterium
Lineage: Bacteria
Description: bacterial SSU rRNA
Rfam family: Bacterial small subunit ribosomal RNA
Source: RNAcentral
AGUGGCGCACGGGUGAGUAACGCGUGGAUAAUCUGCCCUCUUGUUCGGGAUAACUGCUGGAAACGGCAGCUAAUACCGGAUAAGCUCCACCAAUUGUAUGGUGGAGGAAAGGAGGCCUCUUCAUGAAAGCUUCCGCGAGGGGAUGAGUCCGCGUCCCAUUAGCUAGUUGGUGAGGUAACGGCCCACCAAGGCAACGAUGGGUAGCCGGUCUAAGAGGAUGACCGGCCACACUGGAACUGAAACACGGUCCAGACUCCUACGGGAGGCAGCAGUGGGGAAUAUUGCGCAAUGGACGAAAGUCUGACGCAGCGACGCCGCGUGAGGGAUGAAGGUUUUCGGAUCGUAAACCUCUGUCAGGAGGGAAGAAAGCGCAUGGCGCCAAUCAGUCAUGCGUUGACGGUACCUCCAAAGGAAGCGCCGGCUAACUCCGUGCCAGCAGCCGCGGUAAUACGGAGGGCGCGAGCGUUAAUCGGAAUCACUGGGCGUAAAGCGCGCGUAGGCUGUUGUGUAAGUUGGGGGUGAAAUCCCACGGCUCAACCGUGGAACAGCCCUUGAUACUGCGCGACUUGAAUCCGGGAGAGGGUGGCGGAAUUCCAGGUGUAGGAGUGAAAUCCGUAGAUAUCUGGAGGAACAUCAGUGGCGAAGGCGGCCACCUGGACCGGUAUUGACGCUGAGGCGCGAAAGCGUGGGGAGCAAACAGGAUUAGAUACCCUGGUA